CUACCGUUUUUAGGGAGCUACCAUUUGAUUUUUAUGGGGGGGCUAGGAUGAAAUUUGAAAAAAAUAGGCAGGACAGGAGUUUUGAGUAAAAAAAAAAGGCAGGAUGUGACACUUGCAAAAAAAAAAGUCAGGACGACAAUUUAGGUAAAAAAAAGUCAGGAUAAACUAAAAAAAAAAAAAGGCAGGACCGAUUAGAGUAAAAAAUAAAAAGGCAGGACAGAGAUUACAGCUAAAAAAAAAUGCAGGACAAAAUGUUUCAUCCUAGCCCCCCCAUAAAAAUCAAAUGGUAGCUCCCUUA
Molecule: long non-coding RNA, 298 nt
Filed under: Mytilus galloprovincialis (Mediterranean mussel)
Lineage: Eukaryota; Metazoa; Mollusca; Bivalvia; Mytilida; Mytilidae
Source: RNAcentral